CCCCUUCCAGCCUGCCCGCGGCCCAGCUCCGACCGACCGGCCUUGGCCCAGGGUGAGCAGCCCCCGCCCCCUCUCCUGUGCACUUGUGGGCUGACUAGAUUCGGCCCGUUGCUAUUUUUUCCCUGUCCAGCGAUUUUAACAUUAUCCGUAGAAUUAACAGAUUUUCAGAAAACCCCCUGAAGUUCAUGCAUAUAAUAACUCCACAACUGUGCAUCGGAUUAAAAUAAUUUAUACAUGUAAAUUGCUUAGAAUUUCGUGUAGAUUAAUAAUAUGCCAUUUUCAUCCAUGUUUAAAAUGUUUAACUUGCUGUUUAUUUAAAUUUGCUAAUAUGCCAUGCUAAAAUGCUUUAUUUCAUAACUAAAUAACCAUAGCUCGGUUUUAAAUAAACUUUAUAUGUAAAUGGGGUGGAAAAAUGCCUAGUUUAACAUGAUCCACUUUAUUUUCCUGCUUGACAACUUUAAAAUUGUGUUUAGGGCAGAACAGUACCAAAUCCAUAAUUUGCAUAUGGGGAUUUUCCGGAAUUGUUGUUUUGUUGUUCUGGCCUCAUUUAAACUUGCUUAGAUAGGUAGUUUUAUUAUGCCUCACCUCUUGCCAUGUUUAACAACAUUUAAUAUUGUUUGGUAGCUUAAACGAGAUUAAACAACUAUGUCCAUGUGGUGUUUCGUCAAUAUGCAACUCGUUGCAUAUUGAGCUCCACUUAACUUGUAGUGUUGUUUGUGCAUAUUGCCAUGCCAUGCCUCAUUAAACCGGUCAUGCAUCAUACUUGUUUGUGCAUCAUGCCAUGCUUAUGCUUGUUGGUUUACCAUGUUGUUUGUUUCUUUCCGGUGUUGCUUCUUAGUUCCGGUAAUGUUGCGAUCGUGAGGAUUCGUUCGUCUACGCUUGGUUCGGUUUCAUCCGUUCGUCUUCUUCAUGGACUCAUUCUUCUUCCUUGCGGGAUUUCAGGCAAGAUGACCGCUACCCUGGAUCUCACUACUAUCAUUGCUAUGCUAGUUGCUUCGUUCUAUCGCUUUGCUGCGCUACCUAUCAUCUGUUUGUCGAGCCAUCCCAUGUUGCCAUGAACCUCUAACCUUUGACACCUUUCCUAUGCAAACCGUUGCUUGGCUAUGUUGCCGCUUUGCUCAGCCCUCUUAUAGCGUUGCUAGUUGCAGGUGAAGUUGAAGAUUACUCCAUGGUGGAUAGGAUUUUUAUUGGGAUAUCACAAUAUCUCUUAUAUUAUUAAUGCAUCUAUAUAUUUGGUAAAGGGUGGAAGGCUCGGCCUUAUGCCUGGUGUUUUGUUCCACUCUUGCCACCCUAGUUUCCGUCAUACCGGUGUUAUGUUCCCGGAUUUUGCGUUCCUUACGCGGUCGGGUGAUUUAUGGGACCCCCUCGACAGUUUGCUUUGAAUAAAACUCCUCCAGCAAGGCCCAACCUUGGUUUUACCAUUUGCCUCACCACCACAUAUAUUUUCCCUUGGGAGUAAUUAACCCAAGGGUCAUCUUUANNNNNNNNNNNNNNNNNNNNNNNNNNNNNNNNNNNNNNNNNNNNNNNNNNNNNNNNNNNNNNNNNNNNNNNNNNNNNNNNNNNNNNNNNNNNNNNNNNNNNNNNNNNNNNNNNNNNNNNNNNNNNNNNNNNNNNNNNNNNNNNNNNNNNNNNNNNNNNNNNNNNNNNNNNNNNNNNNNNNNNNNNNNNNNNNNNNNNNNNNNNNNNUUGUCUAAGUUUUGGUCCGAACCAGAGCCACUUGCAGCGCCACCUCGGGGAAACUCGAGGGAUGGUUUUAGUUGUACGUAGUGUUCAUCCGGUGUUGCCCUGAGAACGAGAUAUGUGCAGCUCCUAUCGGGAUUGUCGGCGCAUCGGGCGGUCUUGCUGGUCUUGUUUUACCAUUGUCAAAAUGUCUUGUAAACCGGGAUUCCGAGUCUGAUCGGGUUUUCCUGGGAGAAGGUCUAUUCCUUCGUUGAUCGCGAGAGCUUGUCAUGGGAUAAGUUGGGACAUCCCUACAGGGUAUAAUCUUUCGAAAGUCAUGCCUGCGGUUAUUGGCAGAUGGGAAUUUGUUAAUGUUCGGUUGUAGAUAACUUGACACCAGAUCCGAACUAAAACGCAUCAAUCGUGUGUGUAGCCGUGAUGGUCUCUUCUCGGUGGAGUCCGGGAAGUGAACACGGUUUCUGUGUUAUGUUUGACGUAAGUAGGAGUUCAGGAUCACUUCUUGGUCAUUACUAGUUGACGACCGUUCCUCUUGCUCUCUCCUCGCUCUUAUUUGCGUAUGUCAGCCACCAUACUUGCUUAGUCGCUGCUGCAACCUCACCACUUUACCCCUUCCUCUCCCUUUAACCUUUGCUAGUCUUGAUACCCAUGGUAAUGGGAUUGCUGAGUCCUCGUGGCUCACAGAUUACUACAACAACAGUUGCAGGUUCAGGUUGUGCGAGGAUCAUGAUGCGAGAGCGAUGCUUGCUUGCGUUGAGUUCUUCUUCUGCUUCUUCGAUCAGGGAAUAGGUUCCAGGUCGGCAGCCUGGGCUAGCAGGGUGGAUGUCGUUUGAGCUUCUGUUUGUGUUUCAUCCGUAGUCGGAUGUUGAUAUUGUGUAUGAUAUAUUGUUGUAUCCGUGUGGCAUUGUAUGCCUUAUGUAUGUAUCCCCAUCUAUUAUGUAAUGUUGAUGUAAUGAUAUCCACCUUGCAAAGCGUUUCAAUAUGCGGUUCUAUCCUUGGUGGGACCUUCGAGUCUCUUUAGGAUAGUAUCGCAUAUUGGGCGUGACAAGUUGGUAAUCAGAGCCUCGACCGACCAUAGGAGCCCCCUUGAUUGUUGGCCGUUGUUGAGUCUAGAAGAAAACUAUUUUGAGUCUUAGGAUUAUAUAUAUCGGAGAGUAGGAUUCUUUUUACUCCUCAGCCCCUUCGUCGCUCUGGUGAGGUCUCUUGAUGUAGAUGUUUUGUCUUUCCUCUCCUCAAAUUUCACUAAAAAAAUUUAGGAUCACGCGGGUAUCUUGGAAUCGUUCCGAUGGUUUUGUGACGAGAACAUUGUUCUUGGUGCCUCCUGUCUAUUAUGUGGUUUUGACCCGGGGAGUUGAGCUCCGAGGUGUUGUCGUCACAAUUUUAUCGUUGCAGUUCUGGAAUACCUGAGUUUUGCCGACAUCGAAAAUCUCUUUUAUGCAGUUGUUGGUGAGAUAACCUCGACGUCAACCAGUACUGGGGAGUUCGGGAGUAUUGCCAUAACUCGUAUAACGGAUGCUUUUCGAAGGUUGAGGUACAUGAUUUCCGAAGGUUUCUUGGUUAUGUGUUGACGGAUGGAUACAGCUAGAUGUAGGGAUUGUUAGUUUGGGUGAGAUAUAUUGCUUCCCCUGUAUCCCCAACACCAGAUUGCAUAACCAGAAAGUUUUGGGAGUUUAUAGGUGGGAAUUCAAGUAGCUCCUAGAAUAUCUUUUCGACAGAUGCAUGAUAUGAGAUUGGGGUUCGACGUCUAGUGGUCCGUUUUUCCACGGUCGUUUUUACAGUGGUCUCGUUGUGUCUUAAAGAACCCUUGGCUAUGCUGGUUCGGGGACACUUCGUAUGUCAUGUGCACUGCCUUGUACAUGAUGGUGCUGUACACUCGAGCCCAUGUGGGCCCCACCACAAAAACUUCGGACAAAAUCUCUAUCAUAUGUUUGUUCCGGCUUAUUCUGCAAGCCAAAUCCUUUGUUUUGUUUUGAGUUGUGGUAUUCGAGUUGCUUCAUUAUCAAAUGUUGAAUCCAUACCUUUCCUAAACGGUGUUCUCAUAUUGCUAUGUGAAUACUAAUCCUUCUUGUUUAUCAAGAUCGUCAUGUCAAUUCUUUCCAACCGGCGUGCUUCUCUUCAAGGGAUUCGAUCAUUUCAACAUCCGCAAGAUCAACUCUAAGUUUUCUCACCGGUGUUUGUGUCAUCCGUCCCCAAGUUGCCUUUGUUUUCCCGCCCUCCCACCCUUUUUCUUCAAGGACUCAGAUUUCUUAAUCAAGUAUCCAUUUAUUCAUGUGAAGUCUAUUCACUCUUUUCAAUCAAUGUUCUGAUCCGGUGAUCCCUCGUGAAGAUGCUCACGAGCUUCAAGUUCAUCAUUCUUCAUUCUCGUAUUCUUCUCCGGUGGAUUAAUUUCAAGCUUUCAGUGUUGAUCAUAUUCCUUUCCUCGUGUCAAAUGCUUUCUCAUGCCGUUGCACCUCUUAAUCUUUCACUUCUCGCUAUUCAUUUGUUCUGGAGUGCUGAAGAUAUCUCGGAAGACUUGUGUUUCCAUUCUCAAUCAGUUCAAGAUAUUUCGAGGUUGUUAUCUCAUUCAAGCCAUUUAAUUCAACCGGUGCAAUCUCUCUUCAAAAUUAUUUCAAUGGUGUUCCUUUUCAGUGGGCCCUAACCCACAGGUUUUUUCCUAGGAUCUUACCUGACUCUUCUAAUUUUCCCGAAGCUAUUCCCAAAUUCAUUUCAAAGUUUGAUGUAAGAAUGAUUUAUCAUCAGUCAAAUGCCUUCUUCAAGAUCGUUUUCAAAUUCUUUUCAUCGUUGAUUCAACCUUUCUAUUCUUCAUCCCGGAUUGUCUGAACAAUUCAUGGUGGUUCUCAUCAUCAUUCUCAACAUUUGAAGACCGAAGAAGAGUUUCUCUUAAAUCUUGCUCCAUUCUCUUCAAGAUUCAUAGCUCUCUUAAAUUCUUUUCAUCCAUCCGGAGCAAUUCAAGAGUCUUUUCAGAUUGAUUCUCCAUAGCCCAUCAUCUAAGAAUUAUUCAUUCAAGCUUUCAGCUCUCGUUCUCCAAAUCUUACCGGUGCAUCGUUCAAAUACCCUCUAAUCAGCUCGUGAUCUCUUCGUUCUCUUGUAUCAAAUUCCCUCAAGUAUCUUCAUUCGGUCUCUAAUUCUUACUGGUGAUUCACCCCUUUACUUCGUUCAUUUUCAAUCCUUACGGUGGUUCAUUCCAGAUUUCUCUUCCUUCGUCAUCGUAUCAAUUCAUAUUAAUUCAUUCGUUGUUUCCAAAUUCCACAGGUGGUUCCAUCUAUACCUUCUCAAGUUUGCGCCAUAUCUAUCUUGAUCCUUUUUACGAGAAUAAGUAGUAUGCCAAAUCCGUUGUUUGUCAUCAAUUUAAAUUGGUGAAGGAUAGGCAUAAUGUAAUUCUUAUUAUUGUUUCAUCCAAGUAAUCUAGUUUCUUCUUUCCGGAGUUGUUCAUCAUGUCACAUUUCCCGGUUCGAGAUGUUUCAUCUUUUCUUUCCGGAGUUCCAAGUUCUCUCGGCUAUAUCAUCGUGAAGCUCCAUCUAAAUCAUCGCAAGGCUUCACCUUGUGUUUUCAACUUCUCUUUCUUUCUAUCAUCCUUUUAUUACGGGAGUUCUUCAUGGAAGAUCUACAUGAUGGUUCAUGAAGGAUUCCUUUCAUUCUUCAAUUGUUCUUCAAGAUUUCUCUUGAAGCUAAGAUCCCCCAAGCUUUACCCUAAAAUAAACAUGGUGCUCAACACAUGUCUUGUUUUGAGGAGUUCAAGUAUUCUUCUUUUGCAUUUCGAAGUGCAAUUCCUUCUACCUUAUCUCUUGAGGUGGUGUUAUGUCAUUCUUGACAAUUUGAGUUCGUGUUUCAUGAUUCACAUGUUGUCAAGAAUGAGAUAUUUUAAAAACCAUCAUUUUUCUCUUCGAUCAUGAGGUAUUUUAAAUCCAUAAAUCUCUUUGUUGGAGUUAUCUUGGGUUAUAUUUCACCUAAAGCCUUCCCUAAGGAAUGUUGCUAUUUGUGGUGCUUAUCAAUGAUCCAAGUUCUUCAUUUAUCCUCCCGGUGAAAUAAGUUUCUCGUCUCCUUGUUGAUAUCAAUCCAAUCAUUUGUUUUCGUUGGUGGCAGAAGCUCACCUCAUAAUUUUGAGAAUUUUUCCAUAAGCCCACUACAAGCUUAUUUGUUUCGUUGUUGGUUUUCCAAUGACUCCGUUAUAACCUUCUCGGAAGGAUGCUUUCCAAGCUCAAUUGUGGCAAAAGUUAUCAUUUUCUUCUCCGUCCUUUUAUCCCAACAAUCCAGCUCCUAUUCUUUCGUUCCGGAGGCAUUGUGAUGUUGCUCUCUUCACUCAUAAUCUUGAUUUGAGGAUCAUGUUCUUUUCAUGCUUAUCCAUUUAACUGGUGUGUCGUGUUUUCAUUCGUGUUCUUUCAUCUUAUCAAGUUUUGCUUCUCUUUUCAACCGGAGUGCUGUCUGAAAUCUUUCUUACCCCUUUUGCUAUUUUUUUCAAUAAUUCCGGAGGCAGUGUGUUGUUGAUUUCAUCAAGUAUCCUCUCAUCUUGUCAAGUUCAUGCUCAAUUUCUUCCAUUUACAGUCGGAGUGCUGUCAAAAUUAUAUCAUUCUUAUUCAUUCUUAUCUCAUUUCAACCAGAGUGGUUUCAAUUCCUUCUUGUCCAUUGUGCUCGUCAUUCAUGUCUUUGCAACCUUCAAGUUCUCGUAAUGUUCCUUGUUCCUCUUUUCUAACGGAGUAUUUUCAACUUUGUUCAUCUUUGUUGUUUUCUUUCUUCAUUUUGCUCAACCUCUCAAGGUUUGUGGUUUCACUCAUUGGUCGAAGAAGCAACUUAGUUUACCUCUUCUCUUCCUCUUACUUUUCCCUCCGGUGCCAUCCUAGAUCUCGGGACAAGAUCCUCUCGUAGUGGUGGAGUGUUGUAACGCCCCGGAUGCAACUUUCCAUAUUCGUAACUCCAACUCUUGACUUUUCCGGAGAUGCUGUAUGUUAUUUCCUCCGUGGUUGGGUUUUUGACUGUUGUUUUGCAUUUUGUUCUUGUUAUGCAUCUCGUCUCAUAGCAUCAUGCGCAUUGCAUCGGCAUCGUUUUCAUAAAACUUGCAUCCGUCCGGGUUUCCGCCGGUUCUCUCCGUUAUCCGUUCUGAGCCCGACCACACUUGCAUGCGCCCGCGGCACCUCCGAAAUAUUAUUUUAUAAGUGGCAUAAAAAUGUUCUCGGAAUGGGUUGCAACUUGUCGUGCGGUCUUAUUAUAGUGUAGACAGAGCGCCUGCCAAGUUUCAUCGCAUUCGGAGUUCGUUUGACUGCCCAACCGUUAAAUAUAUAACCGCGAUAUAGUUGGUAUAUUCGUCGGGUGUUUUCGGUCUCCGAAAACCAGUGCCGGGCUGCUAUCUCUUCUCUCCCCUCAGUCCAGACCCUCUCGUCACAGCCCACCUGCAGCCCACCUAACCCCCCCUCCGCUCCGGACCCUCCGAUCGAGAUCGAACGGCUCCGAAACGGCCUCAAACCCCCUAACCCUAGCCCCCUUACUAUAUAUAGAUGUCUCCCCUACCAAUUUUGGCCUUCCCCUUCCUUCCACCUUGUUUUCCGCGCAGCCCAAUCAUCAGCACCGCCGCUCCCCUCCAUUUCCGCGCCCCUCCAGCCCCUGCUCGCCACUUGGCAAGUCGCCAUUGGGCGCGCCGCCGCCAUCCACCGCCAGGGCCAACCGGCGCUCGCCACGCGGCCUCCCAGCGCCCCCCUGGCAGUUCCCCUCGCCGCAGCCCGUCCAAGCCCGGGCGCAGCCCGCCAGGCCCAUCCAGGGCCCGACCGCACCCGAGCCGCUCGAAGCCUCCCGCUCGAUCCAGUUUGGGAUCGGGGGAGCGCCGCCGCCCUCCAGCGCCUCGACCGCGCCGCCGGAGGCUGCCGUCCUCGCCCCGUUGCCUCGCCGGAUCUCCGCCGCCCGUCCUCCGCCGCCAUCCUCCGCCGCCAGGUCGUGCCUCCCUCUCUCUCCCGUCUCUCCCUCUGGUUUCUCUCUCUCUCAGAUCUCUCUCUCUCCCCUUGCAGUAACCCCGCCGCCGCCGCCAGGAACCUCGUCGCCGGCCUCCCUCAGCCUAGGGAACGUCGAAUCCGGCUGUUCCCUCGCCGGAUCUGGACGCCAGCGCCGCCCCCAUGGCCUCCUCCAGCCUCGCCAGCCCUUGCCGGAGCCCCGCCGCUGUCUGCCACCUUCGUCUCGAUCGGGACCGAGCACGAGCGCUCGUGCCCCUGCGCGUGUGCCCCGCAAGCCCAGGCCCGCAGCCGCAGCCAGCGCCAGGCCCCGCCGAAGCCAGCCAGGCCCAGCGCCCCCUUCCAGCCUGCCCGCGGCCCAGCUCCGACCGACCGGGCCUUGGCCCAGGGUGAGCAGCCCCCGCCCCCUCUCCUGUGCACUUGUGGGCUGACUAGAUUCGGCCCGUUGCUAUUUUUUUUCCUGUCCAGCGAUUUUAACAUUAUCCGUAGAAUUAACAGAUUUUCAGGAAAACCCCUGAAGUUCAUGCAUAUAAUAACUCCACAACCGUGCAUCAGAUUAAAAUAAUUUAUACAUGUAAAUUGCUUAGAAUUUCGUGUAGAUUAAUAAUAUGCCAUUUUCAUCCAUGUUUAAAAUGUUUAACUUGCUGUUUAUUUAAAUUUGCUAAUAUGCCAUGCUAAAAUGCUUUAUUUCAUAACUAAAUAACCGUAGCUCGGUUUUAAAUAAACUUUAUAUGUAAAUGGGGUGGAAAAUGCCUAGUUUAACAUGGUCCACUUUAUUUUCCUGUUUGACAACUCUAAAAUUGUGUUUAGGGCAGAACAGUACCAAAUCCAUAAUUUGCAUAUGGGGAUUUUCCGGAAUUGUUGUUUUGUUGUUCCGGCCUCAUUUAAACUUGCUUAGAUAGGUAGUUUUAUUAUGCCUCACCUCUUGCCAUGUUUAACAACAUUUAAUAUUGUUUGGUAGCUUAAACAAGACUAAACUAAAUAUGUCCAUGUGGUGUUUCGUCAAUAUGCAACUCGUUGCAUAUUGAGCUCCACUUAACUUGUAGUGUUGUUUGUGCAUAUUGACAUGCCAUGCCUCAUUAAACCGGUCAUGCAUCAUACUUGUUUGCGCAUCAUGCCAUGCUUAUGCUUGUUCGUUUACCAUGUUGUUUGUUUCUUUCUGGUGUUGCUUCUUAGUUCUGGUAAUGUUGCGAUCGUGAGGAUUCGUUCGUCUACGCUUGGUUCGGUUUCAUCCGUUCGUCUUCUUCAUGGACUCGUUCUUCUUCCUUGCGGGAUUUCAGGCAAGAUGACCGCUACCCUGGAUCUCACUACUAUCAUUGCUAUGCUAGUUGCUUCGUUCUAUCGCUUUGCUGCGCUACCUAUCAUCUGUUUGUCGAGCCAUCCCAUGUUUCCAUGAACCUCUAACCUUUGACACCUUUCCUAUGCAAACCGUUGCUUGGCUAUGUUACCGCUUUGCUCAACCCUCUUAUAGCGUUGCUAGUUGCAGGUGAAGUUGAAGAUUGCUCCAUGGUGGACAGGAUUUUUAUUGGGAUAUCACAAUAUCUCUUAUAUUAUUAAUGCAUCUAUAUAUUUGGUAAAGGGUGGAAGGCUCGGCCUUAUGCCUGGUGUUUUGUUCCACUCUUGCCGCCCUAGUUUCCAUCAUACCGGUGUUAUGUUCCCGGAUUUUGCGUUCCUUACGCGGUCGGAUGAUUUAUGGGACCCCCUCGACAGUUCGCUUUGAAUAAAACUCCUCCAGCAAGGCCCAACCUUGGUUUUACCAUUUGCCUCACCACCACCUAUAUUUUCCCUUGGGAGUAAUUAACCCAAUGGUCAUCUUUAUUACAGCCCCCCCGGGCCAGUGCUUGUCUAAGUGUUGGUCCAAACCAGAGCCACUUGCAGCGCCACCUCGGGGAAACUCGAGGGCUGGUUUUAGUUGUACGUAGUGUUCAUCCAGUGUUGCCCUGAGAACGAGAUAUGUGCAGCUCCUAUCGGGAUUGUCAGCGCAUCGGGCGGUCUUGCUGGUCUUGUUUUACCAUUGUCGAAAUGUCUUGUAAACCGGGAUUCUGAGUCUGGUCGGGUUUUCCUGGGAGAAGGUCUAUUCCUUCGUUGAUCACGAGAGCUUGUCAUGGGCUAAGUUGGGACACCCCUGCAGGGUAUAAUAUUUUGAAAGCCGUGCCUGCGGUUAUUGGCAGAUGGGAAUUUGUUAAUGUCCGGUUGUAGAUAACUUGACACCAGAUCUGAACUAAAACGCAUCAACCGUGUGUGUAGCCGUGAUGGUCUCUUCUUGGUGGAGUCCGGGAAGUGAACACGGUUUCUGUGUUAUGUUUGACGUAAGUAGGAGUUCAGGAUCACUUCUUGGUCAUUACUAGUUGACGACCGUUCCUCUUGCUCUCUCCUCGCUCUUAUUUGCGUAUGUUAGCCACCAUACUUGCUUAGUCGCUGCUGCAACCUCACCACUUUACCCCUUCCUCUCCCUUUAAGCUUUGCUAGUCUUGAUACCCAUGGUAAUGGGAUUGUUGAGUCCUCGUGGCUCACAGAUUACUACAACAACAGUUGCAGGUUCAGGUUGUGCGAGGAUGAUGACGCGAGAGCGAUGCUUGCUUGCGUUGAGUUCUUCUUCUGCUUCUUCGAUCAGGGAAUAGGUUCCAGGUCGGCAGCCUGGGCUAGCAGGGUGGAUGUCGUUUGAGCUUCUGUUUGUGUUUCAUCCGUAGUCGGAUGUUGAUAUUGUGUAUGAUAUAUUGUUGUAUCCGUGUGGCAUUGUAUGCCUUAUGUAUGUAUCCCCAUCUAUUAUGUAAUGUUGAUGUAAUGAUAUCCACCUUGCAAAGCGUUUCAAUAUGCGGUUCUAUCCUUGGUGGGAUCUUCGAGUCUCUUUAGGAUAAUAUCGCAUAUUGGGCGUGACAGCGAAUGCCUGUGAAGUUGCCGCGUUUUGGAGAAGGCCCGGUGCCUGUGAAGAAGGCGAAUGCCUGUGAAGUUGUCGUGUUUUGGAAAAGGCCUGGAGCCUGUGAAGAAGGCGAAUGCCUAUGAAGCUGGCGCGUUUUGGAAAAGGUCCGGUGCCUGUGAAUAAGGCGAAUGCCUGUGAAGCUGCCGCGUUUUGGAAAAGGCCCGGUGCCUGUGAAGAAGGCGAAUGCCUGUGAAGCUGUCGCAUUUUGGAAAAGGCCCGAUGCCUGUGAAGAAGGCGAAUGCCUGUGAAGCUCGCCGCCCGUGACACUCUCACGUAACAAUGAGUGGGGCUGUACACGCCCCGGAGUCUCCAGAGUGCCGCCCUCGGGCCUCGGGGGCUCCCGCCCACGCCUAGUGGCAGGACUUAGCUCCGCGCUGGUGAGAAGAAGUCGAAGAUUAGAUUAGGUGCCAGACGCGGCCUUUUCAUUUGCUUUCUGCAGUUGGCUUGUUCAUUCCUAUUUGAAGUUUUAUUGAAGCUGUUGUCGUCUCUA
This 11020-nucleotide long non-coding RNA is filed under the name Triticum aestivum (bread wheat). RNAcentral describes it as "long non-coding RNA (TAES_LNC022245)". Lineage: Eukaryota; Viridiplantae; Streptophyta; Magnoliopsida; Poales; Poaceae. The record is from RNAcentral.